This is a long non-coding RNA of Peromyscus eremicus (cactus mouse), 353 nucleotides long. RefSeq lists it as uncharacterized. The record is from RefSeq and is a predicted model, not a curated record. NCBI's taxonomy places the organism in Eukaryota, Metazoa, Chordata, Mammalia, Rodentia, Cricetidae. The transcript has 3 exons.
AUAAAAGGCUGUUUACUCUUUCCUGAGCUCAGCAAGGACCAUAGUUGGGAAGUGAGUCAACAUCCUGCAGCAUCCCACAAUGGACCCGGCUGAGACGCUCUAUUUUCUUUCUUAGCAGCCCUGUGGAGGAUGGGAAAGAGAUGCCUUGCCCAGACUUGGGGACUGACCUGAACCCACCACGGCAACAGAAAAGGAAAGGAAACCGUGAUCAAAAGCAAAAACCACAAUGCACGGGAGACAACUAAAUAAACAAACUUAAUUGGCUUGUGAUUUCAAAACUUCGGAGUCUGUGAUAUGCCAUAGUCACUAUGGAAGUCUAAAGAAGAUAGAGUAACUAACAGCUUUGAAAAUGA